This is a long non-coding RNA of Bos taurus (domestic cattle), 1096 nucleotides long. NCBI's taxonomy places the organism in Eukaryota, Metazoa, Chordata, Mammalia, Artiodactyla, Bovidae. The record is from Ensembl.
CAAUAAAGAGUCAUUGAGCCAGGUUUUUAUCAGGUCUGUGCCAGGUGUCAGACAUAAAAAGCUGAGUAAGAUGUGGUUUCAUCAGUGGGAGAAUGGGUUGGGAGGAGUUUGAUGAGAUGAGUACUGUUGGCUGAAUCCCAGAAAGAGUUUCAGGAGCACAGAAGCAGGACUCCAAACCCGAUCUGGGAUUCCCUAGAUACAGUAACAUUUAAAUGACCUCUUGAAGAAUGAAUCAAAGGUAGCCAGGAAAUGAGCAAGAGAAGUUUUCGGGUAGAGGAAAAGGUGCAAAGGCCUAAGACAAGAGGCAUCUAUGGGAAACUUGUAGAAACUGUCACCAGAUCUCAAGGUAUUACUUCUUAAGGAAGUUCUACAAGUAAAGGCCACCAAAAGGAUCACCCCAGGCAGAUAUUCUUAGAGUCAUCGUCAGCUGAUUCUUCUUCCAGAGAUUGGAAAUGACUUCCUCUUGACAGCUGUUCACACACACUAAUUUUUGGUCACCCUGGUCCGAAGGAAAUCUCGCAGUUAAAAAGACCAAGUCUCCUUUAUUUGCCCAGAGAGCACCUGGAAAGAUGCCUAAUUAGAGGAAGCCAGCUCACUGUAUAUCUGAGGACCUGGACCUCAGCACUCGCCUUGGCUCACCUCUGAGCUGAAGGCCAGUCCACGACACCACAGCUCCACUCCAUGUUAAUGACACUGAGUGCAGUCAGGCUUUAUUAAAGGUUCAAAAUGUAUAGGCUUAAAGUGGAGCUUGGAUAAAAGAGGUUGCAUGGAAACUGCCUUAUACAGUAUAAGACUGCAGCAGAGGAGAAAAUUCUCCUCCUACAAUGCCAUACAUAGUAGGCUAUCAGCAACUGAUGACUGCAUAAAUAAACUGUCGCCAUCUCUAGAUGAAAAGCUGCAUCUAUGAACCAGAAUCAAAUUUGCACAACAAUUUUUCUCAAACUUUACUGCUUAAACUCAGCAAAACAAUGUGAGGUGGGGAUAAAAAGGAUUAUCUAAGAUUAGGGAAAAACCAGCUCAUUGAAAGAAAUUCUUUGAAGUCCUAUCUCCUCUCUUUAAAGUUCAUGUAAACUUUAAAGUCUAUAUUGUUUUAUAU